Long non-coding RNA from Xyrauchen texanus (razorback sucker), 219 nucleotides. RefSeq lists it as uncharacterized. Lineage: Eukaryota; Metazoa; Chordata; Actinopteri; Cypriniformes; Catostomidae. The transcript is spliced from 3 exons. The record is from RefSeq and is a predicted model, not a curated record.
CUUUUAUCUGUUCUUCAGAGACUGUCUGUAGAUGGAAAAGGGACUACAUCAAGCUGAUUCAGUUCUACAAGUUCAAAUCUGGGACUCGUGAGUCGUACAUGGAGAGUGAAACAGAAAUUGGGGACUCUGCUGAACAUGGAGAUAAAACACCGGAUUGGGAGAAGAUGGCAAGAAUCUGAUUCAGAUUUCCAGUCUACCCUUAAAGAGGUUGACCGUGAG